GUCCAAGAAGCCUUGAGCUCCUUAAAAAAAAGUAAGCCUUUCUUCUUUUUGAACCAAGAAUGCAAGCUUCACCAAAAGAGAAGAAUUGGAACCAAGAAAGACUGGGAUUCGGUUUAAUUUAAACUUAGAAUUUAUAAGUGAGAGAAUGAUUGCAGCCUUGGCAGGAUGUAGGUAUUUCCAGAGGGUGUGCUCUCUCAGAGAGCAGAAGCCAAGUCUAAGCUGUGUCUGGACAACGCCUAGUAGUGUCCCAGAUUCUUUGGGAACACGACAUCUGCGUUUUUCCAAGCCCUUACCUACAGAAAGGCGCCUAUUUUCCGUUACGGUAGAUCUGGCCUGAACUUCACUGCCUUGCAAGGGCGGGGUGGGCCAGGGCUGGCCAGGAUAUCUGCCAACAAGAGACACCUGGGCGCCGUAGUUGCUGGAGAAGCCCCUGGGACCCCAGGACGCAGCAAAUCCAAACUGGAACUGACUGUCGCCAAUUUUCCGACGCUGCCUCAGAGUGUUUUGAGGGGUGGGCUCCCUCCACCCAAGAAGAUGUGCAGGUGGUUGGGGCCAGGCCACAACUCCACAAGGUCUGCAAGUACCUAGCUGCCCAAGGCCAGGCGAGAGGGACAUACUACUCAUGCGCACUGGAUGUGCUUCAUGGUAGCCAGGGUUCUGUAACAGAAUAUGGGUUCCGGAGAGGCAGGGUCACCUGAGAGGGCUCUUGUGGGAACAAGGUGGCUGAGUAAUUGCAAGCCCUGACCUAUGCAAUGGUGCCUGUUCCCUCUGGAGGCAGAUCUGGAGGGAACUCACUGCCUUGACGGGGCGGGGCGGGCAGACUGGCUGAGAUGUCCUCCAAUAAGAGACGCCUCUGUGCUCUGGUUGCCGGAGAAGUCCCUGGUCCCCAAGAGGCAGCACGUGCGAGUGGCAACUGACUGCUGCCAAUCUGCAGUUGCAAAUUUCUUUUGGGUCGGUAGGGGCAGGGUGACCCUGGCAAAUACUGAUGUUUUCUUCCCUGUAGUCUUACCUUUUCCAGAAUGUCUUAUCAAUGAAAUCAUCAGUAUGUAGCUAUUUGAGGCUGCCUGUGUUCUCUUAGGAUAAUAUGUUUGACAAUUACCCAUGUGGUUGUGUGUAUCAGCAGUUUGUUCCUUUUUAUUAUUAAAGUGUAGUUCAUUGUAUGAAUGUUCCAGUUUUGUUGAUCCAUUCACCAUUUGAAGGUAUUUAUUUCCAGUUUUUAAAGAUUAUGAAUAAAGCUGCUUAUAAAUAUUCACUUAGAGGUUUUUGGGAAAAUGUAAGUUGUCACUUCUCUUGGGUACACACUUAAAUGUGGGAUCGCUGCGUUGGGAAAGCAAGUAGAGGUAUCUCAGAUGCUGAGGUGACAGAAACUAGAAUUCAGAGCUUAUCAAAGAGAAGGGAUUUUGUAAACACUCCAGAUGUUUCGCUGAAACUUUGGAUGGGUUAAGCCUUAGGAGUAGGCACAAACUAAGAACAGAGGAAACUUCCUGUUUCUUUAAUAAAUAAAGCUAUUUUUUAAAAAGAAAUGUAAAACAGACAUCAUACUAAAUUGUGAACUCUUGAAACCUUUCGAUCAAGAACGAGACAAGC
Equus caballus (horse) is the source of this 1587-nucleotide long non-coding RNA. NCBI's taxonomy places the organism in Eukaryota, Metazoa, Chordata, Mammalia, Perissodactyla, Equidae. The record is from Ensembl.